UCACAACAAAUCAGCUCAAAGCAACAGCUCAGGCUCAAGCAAUUUCAGUAUAGAACCUCUAGAUGUAGGGUGAUGAGGUGCAGAAUGGGAGUUGGAAUUGUUAUAGUGAGGCGCAGGCUAAGAGUAAUAGGGCACCAUUUUGCCUUAGCUAAUCUCUGGGAAAAUUACCUCAUUACGCACAAUAAUAUAGCAGACAUUAUUAGGGUGAGGUGCAGUCUGGGAGUUGCAGUUUUGGGGUCAGGUGCAGGCUCAGAUGUGUAGUGUUAUGGUAAGGUGCAGGCUCAGAUGUGUAGUGUUAUGGUAAGGUGCAGGCUGGGAGUUGUAGUGUUAUGGUAAGGUGCAGGCUGGGAGUUGUAGUGUUAUGGUAAGGUGCAGGCUGGGAGUUGUAGUGUUAUGGUAAGGUGCAGGCUGGGAGUUGUAGUGUUAUGGUAAGGUGCAGGCUGGGAGUUGUAGUGUUAUGGUAAGGUGCAGGCUGGGAGUUGUAGUGUUAUGGUAAGGUGCAGGCUGGGAGUUGUAGUGUUAUGGUAAGGUGCAGGCUGGGAGUUGUAGUGUUAUGGUAAGGUGCAGGCUGGGAGUUGUAGUGUUAUGGUAAGGUGCAGGCUGGGAGUUGUAGUGUUAUGGUAAGGUGCAGGCUGGGAGUUGUAGUGUUAUGGUAAGGUGCAGUCUGGGAGUUGUAGUGUUAUGGUAAGGUGCA
Molecule: long non-coding RNA, 694 nt
Organism: Oncorhynchus keta (chum salmon)
Lineage: Eukaryota; Metazoa; Chordata; Actinopteri; Salmoniformes; Salmonidae
Exons: 4
Source: RefSeq, a predicted model, not a curated record